RNAcentral lists this long non-coding RNA (1112 nucleotides) under Nicotiana tabacum (common tobacco). RNAcentral describes it as "long non-coding RNA (NTAB_LNC006317)". The record is from RNAcentral. Lineage: Eukaryota; Viridiplantae; Streptophyta; Magnoliopsida; Solanales; Solanaceae.
AAAUAUUUACAAACAAGAAAUUAUACUCAAGGAAAUAUAUGAUUACAGACAUAGCCACCAAAAUCAUUACAUUACAUGUUAAAUGAACUAUUAGUUACAAUGGUAGCCACUCUAGUCUUAGAGCCUAAUUUACUAUACAGUCACAUUAGCUCUUUAUAUAAUGGCCACUCUUAAGUUAACGAUCACAUCCAUCUUCAAUUGCAACCAGGCUUGCAAAGGAAUAGCCACGAAGCUAUCCUUACAAGCCCAUCCACUCAAAGCAGUCUCUUUUGCAAGCUAGCACCAACAAGAAUGAAUUAAACUGCAAAUUUAAGGCAAAUAAAGAUUGUAUUAGAAAGUUUAAACAUUGAUUCCUUGCUUCAAAUGUGCAGAUCUAACCAAUCAGUGGUCAGAGCCUAAACAACUUACACGUAUGCAUAGACUUCAAUCAAGGCUAAAAUUCAAACCUCUAACGUGAUACUGAAUAUAGAAACACUUGGCAGUAAUUUCAACACCUAUUUAACGAUAUAUAGAUCCAGACAUUCAUCAACAUAUUACGAAUUUAACACUUAUCAGCGGAUAUUCAAGUAGACAUUGCACUAUCAAAUUAUUCUUCAUUCACAAAAGUAAGCUGACUAUACAUUAAGUGGGAAAGAGUACCAUAAAAUGCAGAACACAAAUGAAAAUAACAGCCAGAUGUGAAGGCUAAUAGGAAUGGGGAUCAGCAACAACAAGAACAGUAGAAAACUUCAGCUUAAAAACCUCAGAAUAACCAGUAAUUUGACCCAGUGAAAUCAGCAAACCAUACUCACAAGACAAUUAGCUUUCUCUAAUUUUUCUUUUGUAGCUUUCAAUAUCUUAAAGAAAGAAUUUUAUUGAGCUAUUGAUUUCUGCUUUUCCUUAUUUUUUUCAGAGAAUUGUGACUGCUAAGAACUCUCAAAAAACCUAUGUUAUUUGAGAAUCCUUUUAUGCCCCAGAAAAAUCUCUCAAGAGGAAUCCUAAGUUCAGUAAACUAAUCGACUAAGAAUAGCUUCCUCUUAAUUUUUCUUUAUUCCCCUUUUUAUCCUCAAAUUAGAGAAUCCUAUGUGUACUAGCCAAUUAGGAUGUCCCAGGCUCCUUCCUAGCAAUUUCCU